CACGUAGGGCGCGAGCGUUGUCCGGAAUUAUUGGGCGUAAAGAGCUCGUAGGCGGCCUGUUGCGUCCGCUGUGAAAGCCCGGGGCUUAACCCCGGGUCGGCAGUGGAUACGGGCAGGCUAGAGGUAGGUAGGGGAGAAUGGAAUUCCCGGUGUAGCGGUGAAAUGCGCAGAUAUCGGGAGGAACACCGGUGGCGAAGGCGGUUCUCUGGGCCUUACCUGACGCUGAGGAGCGAAAGCGUGGGGAGCGAACAUG
This 253-nucleotide ribosomal RNA is filed under the name uncultured bacterium. RNAcentral describes it as "partial 16S ribosomal RNA". It matches the Rfam family "Bacterial small subunit ribosomal RNA", at positions 524 to 776 of the family's 1533-position model. The record is from RNAcentral.